UGGGUUGUGGCUCAGUGGUAGAGUAGUUGCCUAGUAUGUGCGAGGCCCUGGGUUCGAUUCUCAGCACCACAA
RNAcentral lists this transfer RNA (72 nucleotides) under Ictidomys tridecemlineatus (thirteen-lined ground squirrel). RNAcentral describes it as "Spermophilus tridecemlineatus (thirteen-lined ground squirrel) tRNA". It matches the Rfam family "tRNA". From Rfam's summary of the family: Transfer RNA (tRNA) molecules are approximately 80 nucleotides in length. Their secondary structure includes four short double-helical elements and three loops (D, anti-codon, and T loops). The record is from Rfam by way of RNAcentral. Lineage: Eukaryota; Metazoa; Chordata; Mammalia; Rodentia; Sciuridae.